GGGACGUAGUUCAAUGGUAGAACAUUUGCUUAGUGUGUAUAAGGACCUGGGUUCAAUCCUCAGUGCCACCA
RNAcentral lists this transfer RNA (71 nucleotides) under Marmota marmota marmota (Alpine marmot). It matches the Rfam family "tRNA". Rfam says of the family: Transfer RNA (tRNA) molecules are approximately 80 nucleotides in length. The record is from Rfam by way of RNAcentral. Lineage: Eukaryota; Metazoa; Chordata; Mammalia; Rodentia; Sciuridae. RNAcentral also lists the same sequence under 1 other name.